This 72-nucleotide transfer RNA is filed under the name Ktedonobacter sp. RNAcentral's name for it is "tRNA-Thr". It matches the Rfam family "tRNA". From Rfam's summary of the family: Transfer RNA (tRNA) molecules are approximately 80 nucleotides in length. Their secondary structure includes four short double-helical elements and three loops (D, anti-codon, and T loops). Further hydrogen bonds mediate the characteristic L-shaped molecular structure. tRNAs have two regions of fundamental functional importance: the anti-codon, which is responsible for specific mRNA codon recognition, and the 3' end, to which the tRNAs corresponding amino acid is attached (by aminoacyl-tRNA synthetases). tRNAs cope with the degeneracy of the genetic code in two manners: having more than one tRNA (with a specific anti-codon) for a particular amino acid; and 'wobble' base-pairing, i.e. permitting non-standard base-pairing at the 3rd anti-codon position. The record is from RNAcentral. Lineage: Bacteria; Bacillati; Chloroflexota; Ktedonobacteria; Ktedonobacterales; Ktedonobacteraceae.
GCCGGUGUAGCUCAGGGGUAGAGCGUUCGCCUUGUAAGCGAAUGGUCAAGAGUUCGAAUCUCUUCACCGGCU